Molecule: non-coding RNA, 32 nt
Filed under: Rattus norvegicus (Norway rat)
Lineage: Eukaryota; Metazoa; Chordata; Mammalia; Rodentia; Muridae
Source: RNAcentral
UGUCAGGGUUCUAAAUCCAUGCCAUGUUGCAG